This 265-nucleotide signal recognition particle RNA is filed under the name Oscillospiraceae bacterium. Its description in RNAcentral is "signal recognition particle sRNA large type". It matches the Rfam family "Bacterial large signal recognition particle RNA". Rfam says of the family: The signal recognition particle (SRP) is a universally conserved ribonucleoprotein involved in the co-translational targeting of proteins to membranes. Archaeal SRP consists of a 7S RNA and homologues of the eukaryotic SRP19 and SRP54 proteins. Lineage: Bacteria; Bacillati; Bacillota; Clostridia; Eubacteriales; Oscillospiraceae. The record is from RNAcentral.
AUCGGCUAGCCGGGGAGAUAGCGGUGCCCUGUAGCCCGCAAUCCGCUAUAGCGGGGGUGAAUUCCUGCCCGAGGCGGUGUAUUGUAUUGUACGGCUUCAUACGGAGGUGUUGAGGAAUCGGUCUUGCGCGGAAAGAACCCGCGAAUCGUGUCAGGGGAGAGAUUCAGCAGCACUAAACGGUAACUCUUUGGCGCCGCGAGGCAGCCGGUUCUGAGCUGAAGUAUGGAAUACCGAGUAUAAUGCUCCGUCAAAGGCGGGUGCCGGU